GCAAGCUUUGGUUUUCGUCUGUUUCCCGCUUUCCUUUUCUAGGUUUUGCUGUGAAGCUGUUCGGGUCUGAGGACGUCACUGAUCCUAUUGGUAGCAUUUGGCCAACGUCCUGUCAAGAGAUUUCUUCUCAUUCUUGAUCUCAAAUGCCGGAGCAGCUGCUGAAUUCUGGGCUAGAAUGUCCGGAAUAAAACAAGAAGUCCCUCUUUCUUACUUGGGUCAAGAUUUUAAUGGUUCCUGUGGAGGCCAGGAAGACGG
This is a long non-coding RNA of Microtus oregoni (creeping vole), 255 nucleotides long. RefSeq lists it as uncharacterized. The record is from RefSeq and is a predicted model, not a curated record. NCBI's taxonomy places the organism in Eukaryota, Metazoa, Chordata, Mammalia, Rodentia, Cricetidae. The transcript has 3 exons.